ACGUAGGGGGCGAGCGUUGUCCGGAAUUAUUGGGCGUAAAGCGCGUGUAGGCGGGAUUUUAAGUCGGAUGUGAAACCCUUGGGCUCAACCCAGGACCUGCAUUCGAAACUGGAAUUCUUGAGUGCAGGAGAGGAGAGCGGAAUUCCUAGUGUAGAGGUGAAAGGCGUAGAUAUUCGGAGGAACACCAGUGGCGAAGGCGGCUUUCUGGACUGGUACUGACGCUGAGGCGCGAAAGCGUGGGGAGCAAACAG
RNAcentral lists this ribosomal RNA (251 nucleotides) under uncultured prokaryote. RNAcentral describes it as "partial 16S rRNA". It matches the Rfam family "Bacterial small subunit ribosomal RNA", at positions 525 to 775 of the family's 1533-position model. The record is from RNAcentral.